This 497-nucleotide ribosomal RNA is filed under the name uncultured bacterium. Its description in RNAcentral is "partial 16S ribosomal RNA". It matches the Rfam family "Bacterial small subunit ribosomal RNA", at positions 28 to 507 of the family's 1533-position model. The record is from RNAcentral.
GAUGAACGCUGGCGGCGUGCCUAAUACAUGCAAGUCGAGCGAACAGACGAGGAGCUUGCUCCUCUGACGUUAGCGGCGGACGGGUGAGUAACACGUGGAUAACCUACCUAUAAGACUGGGAUAACUUCGGGAAACCGGAGCUAAUACCGGAUAAUAUAUUGAACCGCAUGGUUCAAUAGUGAAAGACGGUUUUGCUGUCACUUAUAGAUGGAUCCGCGCCGCAUUAGCUAGUUGGUAAGGUAACGGCUUACCAAGGCAACGAUGCGUAGCCGACCUGAGAGGGUGAUCGGCCAAACUGGAACUGAGACACGGUCCAGACUCCUACGGGAGGCAGCAGUAGGGAAUCUUCCGAAAUGGGCGAAAGCCUGACGGAGCAAAGCCGCGUGAGUGAUGAAGGUCUUCGGAUCGUAAAACUCUGUUAUUAGGGAAGAACAAAUGUGUAAGUAACUAUGCACGUCUUGACGGUACCUAAUCAGAAAGCCACGGCUAACUACGUG